This 1333-nucleotide ribosomal RNA is filed under the name metagenome. RNAcentral's name for it is "bacterial SSU rRNA". It matches the Rfam family "Bacterial small subunit ribosomal RNA", at positions 11 to 1307 of the family's 1533-position model. The record is from RNAcentral.
GUUUGAUCCUGGCUCAGAACGAACGCUGGCGGCAUGGCUAAGACAUGCAAGUCGUACGAACCGUUUUUCGGAAUGGUUAGUGGCGAACGGGAGAGUAAUGCAUAGGUAAUGUACCCUGAACACCGGGAUAACCACGGGCUUGCCCUUUGCGAAAGUGUGGCUAAUACCGGAUGAAGUCGUCGGAGCGCAUGUUCUGACGACCAAAGGUGGGGACCUUCGGGCCUGCCGGUUUUGGAUCAGCCUAUGUCCUAUCAGCUUGUUGGUGGGGUAAUGGCCUACCAAGGCAUCGACGGGUAGCGGGCGUGAGAGCGUGGCCCGCCUCAUCGGGACUGAGACACUGCCCGGACACCUACGGGUGGCUGCAGUAACGAAUAUUGGGCAAUGGGCGAAAGCCUGACCCAGCAAUGCCGCGUGCAGGAGGAAGCCCCUCGGGGUGUAAACUGCUGUCAGGGUUUAGCAAGCAAGGGACGUCAAUAGCGUCCGGCGCUGAGCAGACCCAAAGGAAGUCUCGGCUAACUCUGUGCCAGCAGCCGCGGUAAGACAGAGGAGGCAAGCGUUGUUCGGAAUUACUGGGCUUAAAGAGCGCGUAGGCGGCUUGGUAAGCGUCCCGUGAAAGCCCUCGGCUCAACCGAGGAACUGCGGGGCGAACUGCCUGGCUUGAGUUUGGUAGAGGUGCCUGGAACGCUAGGUGGAGCGGUGAAAUGCGUAGAUAUCUAGCGGAACGCCAGAUGCGAAAGCGGGGCACUGGGCCAAUACUGACGCUGAGGCGCGAAAGCGUGGGGAGCAAACAGGAUUAGAUACCCUGGUAGUCCACGCCGUAAACGAUGCACACUAGAUCUGGGAGCCUCUGACGGUGCCCGGGUCCAAGGGAAACCGUUAAGUGUGCCGCCUGGGGACUACGGCCGCAAGGCUAAAACUCAAAGGAAUUGACGGGGGCUCACACAAGCGGUGGAGCAUGUGGCUUAAUUCGAAACAACGCGAAGAACCUUACCCAGGUUUGACAUGCUUGGAUGCUACCCGGGGAUAACUCGGGAUGCUGCCCUUCGGGGUGAAACUUGCACAGGUGUUGCAUGGCUGUCGUCAGCUCGUGCUGUGAAGUGUCUGGUUAAGUCCCUUAACGAGCGAAACCCCUAUCGCUAGUUGCCAGCGAGUCAAGUCGGGGACUCUAGCGAGACUGCCGGCGUUAAGCCGGAGGAAGGUGGGGACGACGUCAAGUCAUCAUGGCCUUUAUGCCUGGGGAUGCACACGUGCUACAAUGGCGAGUACAGAUCGAUGCGAUACCGCGAAGUGGAGCAAAUCGCAAAAAACUCGCCCCAGUUCGGAUUGGAGUCUG